GAUGAAGAACGUAGCGAAAUGUGAUAAGUAAUGUGAAUUGCAGAAUUCAGUGAAUCAUCGAAUCUUUGAACGCACCUUGCGCUCUCUGGUAUUCCGGAGAGCAUGCCUGUUUGAGUGUCAUGAACUCUUCAACCCACCAGUUUCUUGUUAGACUGGCUGGUGUUUGGAUUUUGAGUGUUGCUGGUCUUCGGACGUAGCUCAUUCGUAAUACAUUAGCAUCUCAAUUUCGAAACUCGGAUUGACUCAGCGUGAUAGACUAUUCGCUGAGGACACCUUAGGGUGGCCGAAUAAGAAGACAGUAGAAGCUUAUAAUCAGAUCUUAGUCAAUUUUAGAUUAGACCUCAGAUCAGGCAGGAUUACCCGCUGAACUUAAGCAUAUCAAUAAGCGGAGGA
RNAcentral lists this unclassified non-coding RNA (393 nucleotides) under soil metagenome. Its description in RNAcentral is "partial contains 5.8S ribosomal RNA, internal transcribed spacer 2, and large subunit ribosomal RNA". The stretch from base 1 to 120 matches the Rfam family "5.8S ribosomal RNA", at positions 35 to 154 of the family's 154-position model. The record is from RNAcentral.